UACGUAGGGUGCGAGCGUUGUCCGGAAUUAUUGGGCGUAAAGAGCUCGUAGGCGGUCUGUCGCGUCUGCUGUGAAAACUCAGGGCUUAACCCUGAGCUUGCAGUGGGUACGGGCAGACUAGAGUGCGGUAGGGGAGACUGGAAUUCCUGGUGUAGCGGUGAAAUGCGCAGAUAUCAGGAGGAACACCAGUGGCGAAGGCGGUGCUCUGGGCCGGAACUGACGCUGAGGAGCGAAAGCGUGGGGAGCAAACAGG
Molecule: ribosomal RNA, 253 nt
Filed under: uncultured bacterium
Lineage: Bacteria
Description: partial 16S ribosomal RNA
Rfam family: Bacterial small subunit ribosomal RNA
Source: RNAcentral